Molecule: long non-coding RNA, 1362 nt
Organism: Oncorhynchus keta (chum salmon)
Lineage: Eukaryota; Metazoa; Chordata; Actinopteri; Salmoniformes; Salmonidae
Exons: 5
Source: RefSeq, a predicted model, not a curated record
UCCCCAAUUUUCAAAGCUUGAGACACUGCAAGUAUCAUUGGUUAAGGAGAAUUUCAUACUUUACCAACAAAAGGACUUUCAGAGCAGCAAUAUACAGAUAUGUGAUAUUAGACAGAGGUCAAAUGUCCAAAUAGCUGUUCCCUAUAGGUCAGUGGCUGUACCCUAUAGGUCAGUGUACCCUGUAGGUCAGUGGCUGUACCUUACAGGUCAGUGUACCCUGUAGGUCAGUGGCUGUACCUUACAGGUCAGUGUACCCUGUAGGUCAGUGGCUGUACCUUACAGGUCAGUGUACCCUGUAGGUCAGUGGCUGUACCUUACAGGUCAGUGUACCCUAUAGGUCAGUGUACCCUAUAGGUCAGUGUACCCUGUAGGUCAGUGGCUGUACCCUAGAGGUCAGUGUACCCUACAGGUCAGUGUACCCUACAGGUCAGUCAGUGUACCCUAUAGGUCAGUGGCUGUACCUUACAGGUCAGUGUACCCUGUAGGUCAGUGGCUGUACCCUAUAGGUCAGUGGCUGUACCCUAUAGGUCAGUGUACCCUACAGGUCAGUGGCUGUACCCUACAGGUCAGUGGCUGUACCCUACAGGUCAGUGUACCCUACAGGUCAGUCAGUGUACCCUAUAGGUCAGUGGCUGUACCUUACAGGUCAGUGUAUCCUAUAGGUCAGUGGCUGUACCUUACAGGUCAGUGUACCCUAUAGGUCAGUGGCUGUACCCUAUAGGUCAGUGUACCCUACAGGUCAGUGGCUGUACCCUACAGGUCAGUGGCUGUACCCUACAGGUCAGUCAGUGUACCCUAUAGGUCAGUGGCUGUACCUUACAGGUCAGUGUAUCCUAUAGGUCAGUGGCUGUACCUUACAGGUCAGUGUACCCUGUAGGUCAGUGGCUGUACCCUAUAGGUCAGUGGCUGUACCCUAUAGGUCAGUGGCUGUACCUUACAGGUCAGUGUACCCUACAGGACAGUGGCUAUACCCUACAGGACAGUGGCUAUACCCUACAGGUCAGUGGCUAUACCCUACAGGUCAGUGGCUAUACCCUACAGGUCAGUGGCUGUACCCUACAGGUCAGUGGCUGUACCCUAUAGGUCAGUGUACCCUACAGGUCAGUGUACCCUACAGGUCAGUGGCUGUACCCCACAGGGCAGUGUACCCUACAGGUCAGUGUACCCUACAGGUCAGUGUACCCUACAGGUCAGUGGCUGUACCCUACAGGUCAGUGGCUGUACCCUACAGGUCAGUGUACCCUACAGGUCAGUGUACCCUACAGGUCAGUGUACCCUAUAGGUCAGUGUACCCUACAGGUCAGUGUACCCUAUAGGUCAGUGUACCCUACAGGUCAGUGUACCCUAUAGGUCAGUGUACCA